Molecule: long non-coding RNA, 1274 nt
Organism: Oncorhynchus keta (chum salmon)
Lineage: Eukaryota; Metazoa; Chordata; Actinopteri; Salmoniformes; Salmonidae
Exons: 3
Source: RefSeq, a predicted model, not a curated record
CCAGACCGUUGGGGAAGCUGGGUAGGCCCUCCAGGUCUAAUAGCCCACCAUCCUCCUCUAUACACCAUUGUUGGUCUUAUGCAGGUCCAGACCGUUGGGGAAGCAGGGUAGGCCCUCCAGGUCUAACAUCCCACCAUCCUCCUCUAUACACCAUUGUUGGCCUUAUGCAGGUCCAGACCGUUGGGGAAGCUGGGUAGGCCCUCCAGGUCUAACAUCCCACCAUCCUCCUCUAUACACCAUUGUUUGCCUUAUGCAGGUCCAGACCGUUGGGGAAGCUGGGUAGGCCCUCCAGGUCUAACAGCCCACCAUCCUCCUCUAUACACCAUUGUUUGCCUUAUGGAAACUUUUUCUUUCUCAAAGGCCAACAGGCCACUGUCCAAUAGUGAGCAGUGGUGUUCCCACGGUCUACCUAGCUAACUGUUGUUGUAGGCUAGUUUGCAGCAGCUGCAGCAGAUGUUGUCAAAGAGGAUGUUGUUGCUCAUUUGUUAGCUUGUCCCUUUUCAAGAAUAACUUUCAACAAGAAGUUACAUUUUAAAUGAUCAUCAUCUGUUGAGUGGAACUGGUGUUUUAAUUGCAGCUCGCAUGCUGUUGUUAGCCAUCUCUUUGAUAAGAACUUACGUGUACGAAACAUUGUUGCAUUUAAAGUGGAACUGGUGUUUUAAUUGCAGCUCGCAUGCUGUUGUUAGCCAUCUUUUUGAUAAGAACUUACGUGUGCGAAACAUUGUUGCAUUUAAACUUUAGAUCACUGGUUACUUUGUGUACUUAACACAAUGUUAAGUAAUAGUUGUACAUUUCAAUUGGAAAUUGCUUAGCCUAAUGGUUGUGUUUUUGUAUUAUGAUUGUGACCUAAUUACUAAGCUUAUCCUUUCCAUCGGCCCUAUGCAGUGGUGUAGAGGUGCCUGGAGAAGUGGGUCCUGUGUGAAGGGAAGGCGCCCUGUGUGAAAAAUCCUAUGUUUUCCUAUAGAUUAUUCAGAUGUACACUCUCAAAAUGACACCAAAAAAAUUAUAAUAACAAUCCUUAAACCAUUUUUGAGGUCUGGGAAAAAUCUAAAAUAUAUAUUUUUGGAGGGUGUAGUUACCCUUUAAUUCAAUUGAGCAAAACAAAUGCCCUCCCCAUUGAUACAAAUCGGCAUUAUAUCAUUCUGUCAGGUAGGCCAACAUUAUGUUCAACAUUUUAAUUGGGAAGGUGUUUGGGGAAAGCCUUUAGAAAUGUUCAUGCAAACAGUGGAUGAUGACUGAAAUGGAGAUUGAAAAUAGCCUACGAACCAAGAUGA